UGCAGCUCACUUUUCCUUGUUCCAUACUUUGUGUCUGAGAUUACCAACAUUGACACAGUAAUUUAUAAUUUACAUCUUGUAGCAUGUGUUCACAAUUACUUUGUAUAAAAUGCCAAUUUAUUUAUGCAUUCUCCUGUUGAAGGACCCUGGAUUGUUUUUUAUUUUUAUUUUUUUGAUAUUAUAAACAACAUUGCAACAAACUUUUGUAUGCAUCUUUUCUUGUGCCAUUCACUUUUUUAUUUCUGAGUAUUACUCCUAAUAAUAUAACUAAAACCUUGACUAUCCUGGCUGUGGGAUAUAAUCAUCUUCCUUUUUUCUCAGUUUUGCCAAACUUCUCUCCAAAAUGCCAGUCAUAAUUCAGGUCCACACUCGCAGAGUAGGAAAGUCCCUGUUGCUCUAUAUUGUUGCCAACGUGUUCUCAGGUGUUGUUAUUCUAAAGCUAUGUACAGGUAUGUCUGGGGCACGAAGAAUGAAGUGAUUAUCUCUGCAGGUCCUCCUGUUUUCAAGGAGACUUUGAAUAAAGCAGAAAUAAUGAGCACCUGAACCAAGGCAUCAACACGGGGCUGGAGAGGACUAGAAGCACUAAUAAAGUCCAAUCCACAGCUGUUAUUAAAACUGUAAGCGGGAGGAUAGAGGUCCUAUUUCAUGACUGAGGAGCUUUGGUGGAUACUACAGCCACACAUUUGGAUGGAAGGUAGACGACCGGAUAAUUCUUGUGCUCUGAAUGGAAGCAGUUUAUUGAGCUUCCUCCCACCCCAGUACAAUAAAUGAAGAGACUCACAAGAUUAAGGAGUGAUAAGAGUACACCGCUUCAAAAAAAAACAAAUCCUGUGCAAGGGGAAUAGUGAGCAAAUGAGGAAAUAAGUUACAUGCAUCUACCUCCAUGCCUCAGGCCUGAUAUAAAGAGCUCUGAAGAAACAAAAAAGACUCACGUUCAUUCCUUGCCUUUGACACUUUCCAACCAUGAAGUCUUAAGGUGGUAUUCAAUUUCAAUUUUAGUUUCUUCAUUUGUGA
This 1014-nucleotide long non-coding RNA is filed under the name Homo sapiens (human). RNAcentral describes it as "HSALNT0132282". The record is from RNAcentral. Lineage: Eukaryota; Metazoa; Chordata; Mammalia; Primates; Hominidae.